This 382-nucleotide non-coding RNA is filed under the name Polysiphonia sp. Lineage: Eukaryota; Rhodophyta; Florideophyceae; Ceramiales; Rhodomelaceae. The record is from RNAcentral.
GGGACUGAAAGGAUUUCUACAUUUUGAUAUUAUAUUAAUGUUUAAUUUAACUAAUAAUGUUUACUUAUAUGUUACAUUUUUAAUAUCAUAUAGUGAUAAUAGUAAUUUAGUUGCAAAACAUAAUAUUGUGUCUUUUUCUAAAAAUUUAUUAGUUGCAUAAAUUUUUAGAACCUUGGAUUGUAUAUUCUAUAUUCAAUCUAUUUUUUGUUUAAAGAAUGCUCUAAUUAUAAAUUUAAGUUUCACCUUAUUGUGAUAAUUUUAUUUUUUAUUAGUAAAGUACGAAUUAUUAUAACCUUAAGUUUUCUUUAGAAGUUAUUAGUUAAAUUAUUAUAACUUAAUUACUGUAUCAAUAUGGACGUGGGUUCAAAUCCCACCAGUUCCA